This is a long non-coding RNA of Artibeus jamaicensis (Jamaican fruit-eating bat), 2709 nucleotides long. RefSeq lists it as uncharacterized. Lineage: Eukaryota; Metazoa; Chordata; Mammalia; Chiroptera; Phyllostomidae. The record is from RefSeq and is a predicted model, not a curated record. The transcript has 7 exons.
CUGGGACCAGCCUGAAUCUCUAGGUGAAAACCACAUGGAACCAGAUCUCAAUUUAAGAUAGUUUUUCUCUUCAUGGCUGAUAGCAGUCAGAGAGAGUGCUAGAAUGUAAUAAUACCUCACACCUUGAAGAUUAAACACCUUCUCAGCUAGUGUUUCUGUUGCGACUUUGUUUCUUGCCACCUUCUAUCGGUCACGGAGUGACAUUGAACAGGGAGGAAAAAAAGCAUAUCCUUUUCUCCUUGACAGUAGCUGUCUUCUAAACCUUUUUGUUCAAGUUUGUAGCAUAGAUAUGAAGCUCGAUCAUGUUUUACUUCAAAACUAGUGUUCUGAAUAUCAGAGGUAACCUCCAUUUUCACUUCAAAGAUAAUGUGCUUUAUCUCAGAUGAGCCAAUGUAUUUCUCCCUGUGCCAUUUUGAGUCUCAGAAACCAUUUUUGUUUUGCUAUCAAUGCCUUGGCAACGGACCUAAACACUGCCUUGGUCGAAUGGUCAUUGCCCCUGCCCUACCAGUUCGUCCUGGAGAAUACAUCCAUGAGGGACCUCUUCACUAGAACUAGAGUCUAAGUUCCCUCCUCUGGAAUCUGAAUGUGUUUUUCAUUUGCUUGUAACAGAAGAAAUGCCAUAAGAGUGACAAUACAUGAUUCCUAAGGCUACAUCAUUAAGCACAAUGUAUUUCAGGUUCAUUUUGAAUUGUUUUCCCUACAUCGAUUGAAUCAUUUGGUCUCCAAGAAGAUAUGGCCUUCUCUACUGUAGCCAAAGGAUUGAAUCUGGGUGCCACUGAGCAAGUACUGGAUAUGUUACUUUAUAUGAGCAUUUGACAUAGAAGAGGAUGACACAAAAGCUAUUUGUCUCCUUUAUGUCUUGUGAGAAUGUAACCUUUUCUAAAAUACAAAAGCCAUAUUUGCAUUGAUAUUUCUAAUUCAACUGUCUUUUAUUCUUAUACUGCUAAGAUGACCUUCCUUUUUUUCAGUGCUACACUGAACUCUCAUAUCAAAGCAGGUGUCCAAUAGCAGCACUAUUCCUAAAUUAAGAAGUCUUCAUUCCAUCUUUCUUGCAAUUUCAUCUAUUGCCCAAGGGUUUUGGAGUUAGCUUCAGAGAGAACAUGCCCCUGCUUGUCAGGAUGACCCGAACAUCAAAUGACUGAUGAGAGAAUGAUAUCUUUGUUUCCUCUAAAGGAACACCAGAAAUUUAUGGGAAUUUCAUGUCACAGCAUAGUAUAAAAGAACAGCAAUAAAUACAAAUAAAGGCUUUGCGAUUUUAACUAUAACUUUAUUUUUUUAAGAAAAGUCUCAUCCUCUUUAGAGCAGUUUAAUGCUCACCACAAAAUUGAGAGAAAGGUACAGAGCUUUUCUGUACCUCUCUACCAUAAUAUAUGCAUAGCCUCUCCCAUUAUUAACAUCACCUGCCAGAGUGAUACAUUUGUUAUCACUGAUGGACAAUCACAGUCAUCUAAACUCCAUAAUUUACUAUAGGACUCACUCUUGGCCUUGUAUAUUCUGUGGGUUUGGACAGAUGUAUAAAUAACAUGUAUUCAUCAUUAUAUUAUCAUAUAAAGUGUUUUAAAUACCCUAAAAACUCUCAUUGCUCUACCUUUUCAUGCCUCCUCAUAACUCCAAUCCCUGGGCACCACUGACUUUUAAUGUCCUCAUAGUUUUGCCUUUUCCAGAAUAUCAUAGUUGAAAUCAUACAGUAUAUGUUCCUUUCAUUUUGGCCCUCCCCACCUAAUAAUAUGCACUUUAAGUUCUUUCUGGUGUUUUCAUAGCUUGAUAAAUCAUUUUUUUUGGUGCUGAAAAAUAUUCCAUUAUAUGAAUUUAUCACAGUUUAUUUAGCUGUUUACCUACUGAAAGGCAUAUUGGUUGCUUCCACAUUUUAGCAGUUAAACGUCUGCGUGCAGGCUGUUGUGUGGAUAUAGAAUUUUCAGUUCCUUGGGUAAACACCAAGAAACACGACUGCUGAAUUGCAUGGUAAGAGCAUUUUUAGUUUGGUAGGAACUCACCAGACUGUUCUGUACAGACUGCACUGUUUUGCAUUUCCAUUAGCAAUGAAUGAGAAUUUCCAUUGCUGCCCAUCCUCACCAGCAUUUGAUGGUGUUGUCAGUAUUCCAUAUUUCUGACCAUUCUGAUAAGUACGUGGUAAUAUUUCCUUCCUAUUUUAAUUUGCAUUUCUCUGAGAACACAUGAUAUGGAGCAUCUUUUCUUGUGCUUAUUUACCAUCUGUGUAUCUUCCUUGGUGAAAGGUCUGGUAAGGUCUUUGGCCCAUGUUUUAAUCGGGUUGCUUGUUUUCUUAUUGUUGAAUUUUGAGUUCUUUGUAUAUUUUGGAUAACAGUCUUUUAGCAGAUGUUUCUUUUGUCAAUAUUAUUUCCUAAUCUGUCGCUUAUCUUCUCAUUCUCUUGAAAUUGGCAUUCAAAGAGCAGUAUUUAAUCUUGAUGGAAUCCAGCUUACUAAUUACAUCUUUCGUGAAUCAUUCCAUUGGUGUGAUAUUUAAAAAGUCAUUAUUACACCCAGGCUCAUCUAGGUUCUCUCCUGUGUUAUCUUGCAGGAGUUUUAUAGUUUUGAAUUUUACGUUUAGGUCUUUGAUAAGUUUUGAGUCAAUUUUUGCGAAAGGUGUAAGGUAUGUGUCUUUUUUUUGCAUCAUUUUCUGAAAAGCUUAUCUUUGCUCCAUUGUGUUGUCUUUGCUCCUUUACAAAGAUCACAUCGACUUAUAUUUAUGUG